Molecule: ribosomal RNA, 465 nt
Filed under: Vreelandella stevensii
Lineage: Bacteria; Pseudomonadati; Pseudomonadota; Gammaproteobacteria; Oceanospirillales; Halomonadaceae
Description: partial 16S ribosomal RNA
Rfam family: Bacterial small subunit ribosomal RNA
Source: RNAcentral
CCUACGGGCGGCAGCAGUGGGGAAUAUUGGACAAUGGGCGAAAGCCUGAUCCAGCCAUGCCGCGUGUGUGAAGAAGGCCUUCGGGUUGUAAAGCACUUUCAGUGGGGAAGAAAGCCUUGGGGCUAAUACCCUCGAGGAAGGACAUCACCCACAGAAGAAGCACCGGCUAACUCCGUGCCAGCAGCCGCGGUAAUACGGAGGGUGCGAGCGUUAAUCGGAAUUACUGGGCGUAAAGCGCGCGUAGGCGGUCUGAUAAGCCGGUUGUGAAAGCCCCGGGCUCAACCUGGGAACGGCAUCCGGAACUGUCAGGCUAGAGUGCAGGAGAGGAAGGUAGAAUUCCCGGUGUAGCGGUGCAAUGCGUAGAGAUCGGGAGGAAUACCAGUGGCGAAGGCGGCCUUCUGGACUGACACUGACGCUGAGGUGCGAAAGCGUGGGUAGCAAACAGGAUUAGAUACCCCAGUAGUC